UGCGGUGACCAGAGCGGCAGGGUCACACCCGUUCCCAUUCCGAACACGGAAGUUAAGCCUGCCAGCGCCGAUGGUACUUGGGGGGAGGCCCCCUGGGAGAGUAGGGCGUCGCCGCAA
Molecule: ribosomal RNA, 117 nt
Filed under: Acidimicrobiaceae bacterium
Lineage: Bacteria; Bacillati; Actinomycetota; Acidimicrobiia; Acidimicrobiales; Acidimicrobiaceae
Source: RNAcentral